AUAUGCUUGUUCCAAAGCUUAAGCCAUGCAUGUGUCCGAACGAUGGUAGCUUUUGAUCUCUAGAAUCUGCGAACGGCUCCGUAUACCUGUUAUCACCCACCUCCGCUGAGCCCAAGCGGAUAACCACGGUAAUUCUGUGGCUAAUACGUGCAACCACUGGUCCCGCUCGAUCCGCUGCUUUAGAGGCGGGCGGGGCCGGCCACCCGGGCGACCACCAACGGCCCUCCCACUGGGGGGGGCUAAGCGUGAUGGCUCGGGUGGGAUCCUGACCGGGAUCGUAAACCUUACCGGCCCAGGAGAUAGGCAUCAGACCUAUCAACUUGAAGAUACGGGCCGGCCAGGCCUUGGUGAUAACGGGUACAGAGGAUCAGGGUUCGAUCCUGGAGAGGUAGCCUGAGAGAUCGCUACCACUUCUAAGGAAGGCAGCAGGCGCGCAACGUUCCCAAUGGGGGCCCCCCUGAGGACGUGACGGGGCAUAGCAAUACGCCGCCCACAAGGGCGGGGUAAUUGAAAUGGGGGCAUUUUAAAUCCCUCACCGAGUAGCA
RNAcentral lists this ribosomal RNA (545 nucleotides) under Hemitrichia abietina. Its description in RNAcentral is "SSU rRNA". It matches the Rfam family "Eukaryotic small subunit ribosomal RNA", at positions 26 to 546 of the family's 1831-position model. Lineage: Eukaryota; Evosea; Eumycetozoa; Trichiida; Trichiidae. The record is from RNAcentral.